AGGGGUAACAGGGAGCUUGCUCCGCUGACGACCGGCGCACGGGUGCGUAACGCGUAUAGAACCUACCUUUUACUGGGGGAUAGCCUUUAGAAAUGAAGAUUAAUACCCCAUAGUAUUGCGAUUUGGCAUCGAAUUGCAAUUAAAGAUUUAUUGGUAAAAGAUGGCUAUGCGUCCUAUUAGCUAGAUGGUAAGGUAACGGCUUACCAUGGCAACGAUAGGUAGGGGCCCUGAGAGGGGGAUCCCCCACACUGGUACUGAGACACGGACCAGACUCCUACGGGAGGCAGCAGUGAGGAAUAUUGGGCAAUGGAGGCAACUCUGACCCAGCCAUGCCGCGUGCAGGAAGACUGCCCUAUGGGUUGUAAACUGCUUUUAUACGGGAAGAAACACCACUACGUGUAGUGGCUUGACGGUACCGUAAGAAUAAGCACCGGCUAACUCCGUGCCAGCAGCCGCGGUAAUACGGAGGGUGCAAGCGUUAUCCGGAAUCAUUGGGUUUAAAGGGUCCGCAGGCGGUCAAUUAAGUCAGAGGUGAAAUCCCAUAGCUUAACUAUGGAACUGCCUUUGAUACUGGUUGACUUGAGUUAUACGGAAGUAGAUAGAAUAAGUAGUGUAGCGGUGAAAUGCAUAGAUAUUACUUAGAAUACCGAU
Molecule: ribosomal RNA, 651 nt
Filed under: Pseudotenacibaculum haliotis
Lineage: Bacteria; Pseudomonadati; Bacteroidota; Flavobacteriia; Flavobacteriales; Flavobacteriaceae
Description: bacterial SSU rRNA
Rfam family: Bacterial small subunit ribosomal RNA
Source: RNAcentral